GGGCGUAAGGGCGCGUAGGCGGUGAGAUGUGUGUGAUGUGAAAGCCCCGGGCUUAACCUGGGAAGUGCAUCGCAAACUAUCUGACUGGAGUACAAGAGAGGGUGGCGGAAUUUCCGGUGUAGCGGUGAAAUGCGUAGAGAUCGGAAAGAACGUCGAUGGCGAAGGCAGCCACCUGGCUUGAUACUGACGCUGAGGCGCGAAAGCGUGGGGAGCGAACAGGAUUAGAUACCCUGGUAGUCCACGCUGUAAACGAUGAAGACUAGAUGUUGGUAGGGGAACCUAUCAGUAUCGAAGCUAACGCGAUAAGUCUUCCGCCUGGGAAGUACGGCCGCAAGGUUGAAACUCAAAGGAAUUGACGGGGGCCCGCACAAGCGGUGGAGCAUGUGGUUUAAUUCGAUGCAACGCGAAGAACCUUACCUACCCUUGACAUCCUGCGAACCCGACUGAGAGGUUGGGGUGCCGAAAGGAACGCAGAGACAGGUGCUGCAUGGCUGUCGUCAGCUCGUGUUGUGAGAUGUUGGGUUAAGUCCCGUAACGAGCGCAACCCUUGUCCUUAGUUGCCAGCAAGUAAAGUUGGGGACUCUAAGGAGACUGCCGGUGAGGAACCGGAGGAAGGCGGGGA
This 622-nucleotide ribosomal RNA is filed under the name uncultured bacterium. RNAcentral describes it as "bacterial SSU rRNA". It matches the Rfam family "Bacterial small subunit ribosomal RNA", at positions 556 to 1179 of the family's 1533-position model. The record is from RNAcentral.